Molecule: non-coding RNA, 157 nt
Organism: Pelobates cultripes (western spadefoot toad)
Lineage: Eukaryota; Metazoa; Chordata; Amphibia; Anura; Pelobatidae
Source: the annotation of a GenBank genome assembly
GACAUGCGGACACUGAGACACUAGGGACACUGAGAGACUUGGGGACAUUGGGAGACAUGGGGACACAAACGCUAGGGACACAGUGUUUCAGUGUCCCCAUGUCUCCCAGUGUCCCCAAGUCUCUUAGUGUCCCUAGUGUCUCAGUGUCCCUAGUGUC